Molecule: RNA transcript, 1776 nt
Organism: Carica papaya (papaya)
Lineage: Eukaryota; Viridiplantae; Streptophyta; Magnoliopsida; Brassicales; Caricaceae
Gene: FUT13
Gene name: fucosyltransferase 13
Source: RefSeq, a predicted model, not a curated record
UUCUUCCCCUGUGAUGAAAAAGUCUAAAAAUGCGAAUGCAAAGAAGCAAAAUUUAUGCAGAAUUUUUGUUUUUGAAAAUUUUUCUGCAGGAAAUAAUUUACUAAUAACAGUGUUAAGCGUAAAACCAAACUGAAUCCUCCGACUCCAUUGCUCCUUCUCUCUGGGUCUCCUCUUUCUCUUCCAAGAAGAGGAAGACUCAAGACUAAAACAUCCCAUUCGAGAGAUCUCCUCGCAAUGCCAUUAAAACCUCUGAACGCCUUCAUCGUCGCUUUCAUGCUGUUCCUCACAUUCUUGAUCCUCUUUCUUUCCGGCUUCCUCGAAUUCCCAUCUCUCCCCACCUCAAUCUCCGCCGCCAUAGACCCUGAUUCGAGGUUUUCAACCGAAUCGACACCUGAUCCCUUUACUGACCUUUUAGGCGCCUUCAAGAAAUGGGACUCUCAGGUGGGUUGCGAGCAGUUCAGGGAAAAACACAAGGAUUUGAUAGCGGGUUCUGGGUCUAACAGGUCGGAUUCUCUGCAAGAAGAUGGAGAUGAUAAUUCAAAUUGCAGUCAGUUGAAGAUGGGGCAUGUUAGUGUGUUGGUCAAACGGUGGACUUGGAUUCCUGAUAAUUUGGAUAAUUUGUAUUCCUGUCGAUGUGGGUUGAGCUGUUUGUGGACCAAGUCGUCUGUUCUUUCUGAUAAGCCUGAUGCUUUGUUGUUUGAAUCGGCUACGCCUCCACUUCAGAGACUCAGUGGAGACCCGCUACGUGUAUAUAUGGAUCUUGAGGCUGGAAGGAAACGGUCAGGUCAUGAAGAUAUAUUCAUUAGCUACCAUGCCAAAGAUGAUGUUCAAUCCACUUAUGCUGGUGCACUUUUUCAUAAUGGUCGAAAUUAUCAUGUGUCUUCAUACAAGAACAAUGAUGCCCUUGUUUAUUGGUCUUCAUCCCGCUGUCUUCCUCAAAGGGAUCAACUUGCCAAAAGUAUCCUCAGUUUCUUGCCCCACCAUUCAUUUGGCAAGUGCUUAAACAACGUUGGUGGCUUAGAUAGGGCUAUUUCUCUAUAUCCUGAAUGUGCCAAUGAUGCUAGUCUGGCUCCAAAAUGGUGGGAUCAUCUACAUUGUGCAAUGUCUCAUUACAAGUUUGCCCUAGCAAUUGAAAACACAAUGACAGAGAGUUAUGUGACGGAGAAGCUAUUUUAUGCUCUGGACUCUGGUGCAGUUCCCAUCUAUUUUGGUGCUCCGAAUGUCUGGAAUUUCGUCCCUCCACAUUCAAUAAUAGACGGAACUAAAUUUAGUUCCAUGGAAGAAUUGGCUUCUUUUGUGAAGAAGCUUGCUAAUGACCCUGUGCUAUAUGCCGAGUACCACGCAUGGAGAAGAUGUGGUGUUCUGGGUAACUACCGGAAGACCCGUGCAGCAAGUCUCGACACCUUACCUUGCCGGUUGUGUGAGGCAGUUAGUAGAAUGGGAGGAAGAAAGAGAAGAGCAUCAUGAAGGUGAACUGGUUGGUAUAUUAGUUGCUUGUUCUGGCCAUAUAUUUUCCGCUAAUUACAGUGAAGUUGUUAGAUGCACAGUAGCUAGGAUUACAAAUACAAAGAAAGGAAGAGAAAACACUUUAUACUGAUGAUCUUGUAGAGCUCUGAUCUUCAUUGUCAUCUUUGUGGAAUUUCCAGACAGAAGCCAUUAUUCCAGUUGAAGUUGUAGGGUUGGACUUUGCAGCUUUCUGCACCUGCAUAAUUUUCAUUCCCAUUAAUUUUUUAAAGCUACAAGUUUACUAAAGAAAUAUACUACCUUGAUUAAAUA